Molecule: ribosomal RNA, 253 nt
Filed under: uncultured bacterium
Lineage: Bacteria
Description: partial 16S ribosomal RNA
Rfam family: Bacterial small subunit ribosomal RNA
Source: RNAcentral
UACGGGGGGGGCAAGCGUUGUUCGGAAUUACUGGGCGUAAAGGGCUCGUAGGUGGCCAACUAAGUCAGACGUGAAAUCCCUCAGCUUAACUGGGGAACUGCGUCUGAUACUGGAUGGCUUGAGUUUGGGAGAGGGAUGCGGAAUUCCAGGUGUAGCGGUGAAAUGCGUAGAUAUCGAGAGGAACACCUGCGGCGAAGGCGGGUUGCUGGGCUGACACUGACGCUGAUGCGCGAAAGCCAGGGGAGCGAACGGG